Molecule: non-coding RNA, 1188 nt
Organism: Triticum urartu
Lineage: Eukaryota; Viridiplantae; Streptophyta; Magnoliopsida; Poales; Poaceae
Source: RefSeq, a predicted model, not a curated record
GCGGCGGCUGGGUAUCCGACUCUCUGCUUUGUUCGACAAGGAGCAUGUCGCCGUCACCUUGGGUGCAGCCGUCCGGUGGAAGGCGCUCUCCCUUUUUCAGAAGGCGAGGAGGAUCGGCGGAUCCAGCCCCCCUCCUCUCCAGCUCGGUAGAGACAAAAGAGGAGGUCACCGGGAGAUGACGGAAGAUCAAAGGAGGAUGGUCAAUCGACAUAUGCGACAAAGAUCCUGUUGUGCACAAGCAUACUCCAUACAUUGUUAUCCUCGUGAGGCUUGCAGAAAAAUGGGCAGAUGCGCGUGAUGGUCAGUGACCUUCGGCCUGGAAAGAGAAAGGGGAAUUUAAGCCGUAUGCUUAAACCGCAAGUCAUCCAAGAAGUGGUCCGGUUUUACACAGUGCUCCUAAUAGUACAUUAAAAGCAAAAACAGUGAACUCCCUCAAAAUGAUUUGGCCCUUGCCUCUCAAUAUGGUUCCCGGUGCAUAAUGGACUACCAAACAAUGUUAAGAAGCCAUAGUGGCUCGGGAAGGAGUGUGAUUGUGCUAGCAGAGUAAAAGACCAUAAUGGCAAUGUCGCUCUGACUGCUCCUGGACUUCCAUGGUGGCGCUGGAAGAUUUAGCCUGCCGCUUUGCCUGCGCUUCGCCUGAUCACCGUUCAUCCAGAUAUGAUGGCAAGAAAUAAGGUUCUUGUCGGUGUCAAAACCGGUGGAUCUCGGGUAGGGGGUCCCGAACUGCGCGUCUAAGGCGGAUGGUAACAGGAGGUGGGGGAUACGAUGUUUACCCAGGUUUGGGCCCUCUCAAUGGAGGUUCAAAAUUGAACUUGUUUUGCUAUAAAUGGCCUCCCGCGGUUGUAUACAAAGCUGAAGUAGGUACCAUCUCCAUGAAAGUACUUGCAAAGGUGUGUUGGAGCUGAACUAAGGAAGUUGUCAAUGCUCAAGCCAUGUGCAAGAAGAGUGAACCAGAAAACUAAGAAGAUGUUUAUUUUUUAUUGUUUAUCCUUAGGUUGUAUUUGACUAUUUAUUGUGGCGAAUUGGCCGAGUUUUCUAAUUGGAGUCUCAUUGAGGAAUGUUGAAGGGUUUAGAUUUAUAUUUAAGGUCUACCAGUAAUAUAGGAAGCAAGUUGUGGUGUGUGUGCCAGUUAUCUUAUGAACAAGUGAGACCACCAUUAAUUUAAAUCUCUCAUAUACUUCGUUAAGU